Molecule: long non-coding RNA, 448 nt
Filed under: Zea mays
Lineage: Eukaryota; Viridiplantae; Streptophyta; Magnoliopsida; Poales; Poaceae
Description: long non-coding RNA (ZMAY_LNC005515)
Source: RNAcentral
GAGAAAGAAAGGGCCAGGUUGAGAUAUCGAGGGCAGGUUGCCCUUCCGGUGCCUGAAGGGCAAACAAAAUGUCAUACCAAGUCAGGCUGUCGUGCUUUUCCUAUGAAUUGGCCUUCUCGCAAUCCCUUCUAUUUUGCCUCACCUCAAUCUGUUGAUGGUAGGUGGGACAACGCUAUAAUAGUUCAUCAUGCUUCAUUGCUGCUGUUCAAUUUGGGUUCAUGGUAUCUCAAUUUCAAUUAGGUUUGGUCAUUUGUACAACCUGUUUAUGUGUAUGUGGGGAAAACCUGUUUAUAUGUAGAAUAUGCCUUGCUGAUGAUCUGGAUAUCCUCAUAUAUAUAUUAUACCUGUCAUUUUAUAUGUCAGUACACACUCAAACAGAAAGUUGAUGUCAUAAGGGAUGUUCUUGGAACUCAAACAUACUUGCAUCAAAUGUUAUCUUUUGAAGUAC